UAAAAGACUAUUAAAAUAAAAGAAUAAGACUAUUAAUGUUGUCGUGAAAGUUGGUGUUGAGUGUGGUUGUGUUCUUGGGGUGGUUAUGACAGCAGGAGAAAUAGGAGUUGGAUCUGGAUCUCUUCUGGGUCUGUGAGGAUGUGGAAGUUGAAGAAGGUUUGGUGGAAGAGAAUUAGGUGGUUUGAUGAUAAUGUGAAGUUGUUCGGGGUGGAUCACUGAAAAUCAACGUUUGAGAUUAAGGAGGUUGGUCACUUCUUUCCCCUAUUGGUGAUGAUAAUUUGGAGGAAGAUGAAUUUCUAUUGGAAAGGUUAUAACCCAAAGUGCUAGGCAUCUCUAUUACCUUAUCUUGCUCUCUCAUGUCCAUGAAUAAAGAAGGCCAAGAU
This 383-nucleotide long non-coding RNA is filed under the name Vigna radiata. RNAcentral describes it as "long non-coding RNA (VRAD_LNC000957)". The record is from RNAcentral. Lineage: Eukaryota; Viridiplantae; Streptophyta; Magnoliopsida; Fabales; Fabaceae.